AGUGAACGCUGGCGGCAGGCCUAACACAUGCAAGUCGAACGGCAGCACAAGAGAGCUUGCUCUCUGGGUGGCGAGUGGCGGACGGGUGAGGAAUGCAUCGGAAUCUGCCCAUUCGUGGGGGAUAACCUCGGGAAACCGGGACUAAUACCGCAUACGACCUACGGGUGAAAGCAGGGGAUCUUCGGACCUUGCGCAGAUGGAUGAGCCGAUGCCGGAUUAGCUAGUUGGAGGGGUAAAGGCCCACCAAGGCGACGAUCCGUAGCUGGUCUGAGAGGAUGAUCAGCCACACUGGGACUGAGACACGGCCCAGACUCCUACGGGAGGCAGCAGUGGGGAAUAUUGGACAAUGGGCGCAAGCCUGAUCCAGCCAUGCCGCGUGUGUGAAGAAGGCCUUCGGGUUGUAAAGCACUUUUGUUGGGAAAGAAAAGCAGCCGGUUAAUACCCGGUUGUCAUGACGGUACCCAAAGAAUAAGCACCGGCUAACUUCGUG
This 490-nucleotide ribosomal RNA is filed under the name uncultured bacterium. RNAcentral's name for it is "partial 16S ribosomal RNA". It matches the Rfam family "Bacterial small subunit ribosomal RNA", at positions 29 to 507 of the family's 1533-position model. The record is from RNAcentral.